Non-coding RNA from Coturnix japonica (Japanese quail), 4581 nucleotides. The record is from RefSeq and is a predicted model, not a curated record. Lineage: Eukaryota; Metazoa; Chordata; Aves; Galliformes; Phasianidae.
GUUAUGCGCUCGUUAGCCUUUGGUUCCCCCGUGCUUUGUCAGUCUGAGUGCUGUGGCUCUGCCUGUGCUCAGACCCGAACUGACAUCUCUAGAUGCUGAAACAGAAUAGAAAGUGACUGCCACUUCCAUGCUUACAUUGACUCAGCACUGCUUGGGUAGGUCUGAAUGCCACUCUUGUUCUUCUUCUGUUGUGUCUUGUGUCACAAGGCUUCAACUUCUGGCUUGCAGAGAGGUUCCUGAUGAAAGAUUCACCAGCAACGCUUUAAUUCUAUAUUUCCUGUAUGCAAAGUAACCAAAAAGCAGCUGAAAUCGUGGUUCUAGCCAGUCCUGAUGCUUGUAAGUGAGCUGCAGUUGAAAGGCAGAUGCUGUUGACUUGCUGAAAGCACAUCUUCCAAUUCACUUUUUAACAUUGAAAGUGUACCAGAUGCUCCCUAGCCAACGUACCUCACGGUUUGUUGUUGUUCUGUUUCAGAGGUUGCUGGAGCUAGCAGGCAAUGUAUAAGAUGUGUUGUACUGUCAGUUUAACCAGUAACAGGGGUGCAAGCUGAACUGGAAGAAUGCGUAUUCAAAGAUAUGCACCUGUGCAAGUAGUUGUUAUAUAUGAAAUGCAGCUGCACAAAGGCAUUUAAUCCUUACUGAAGGGCAGGUAAUCACAGUCUGAUUUACCCAGGGAUUCUGCAGGAUGCGUACCUAGAAAAACCAAGUGUUUGCUUAUAUUGAUACAAAACCAUCGCUGAGUUAUCAACGUACCUGAGAACGGCUCAGUGAGGUCUCGUAACCUGUGCGUAUCUUUAUAUUUUACAUGUUGUCCCUGCUCUUGUUUUCUGAUGAAGGUACCCUUGUAUUCUUAUAUAAGCAGAGUUGCUUUUCAUGUAAAGUAGAAAAGCCAGGUGAAAUUUCCUCUUCAAGUUGAGAUACAGGCUUCAAUUUUCUGCCUCCCUGGUCUAACCACAUACCAGACCAAAGUAAGCGAAGGAAGGCCUUCAUUCCACCUGAUGAAGUUGUUUUAUGUUAGAGGAAUGAAUAAUGUGUUUACAGGGCCAGCAGGGAGAGGAAGAUGUAGACCUUCACUCAACUCUGAAGCGAAUGGUUAGAAGCAGUUAAGGUAGCUGUUGCCUCUAUGGUUUCUGCUGAAUGGCUAUUUAAUGUUAAAAAACAAUGCAUUAAUAGGCCUGAACAGGUCUGAAAUCCAGGUCUCCCAGUUUCCAGAGAAGUCUCCUAAUGGUAUAACUAAAAGUCUAGCUUUUUUUGUACUGCUUAGUGUGGGAGCCCUGCAUCCCUUUCAGGUGUGGUGCACAGCUUUAGCAAGAAGAGUGGAGGGUGUCUCCAUAGCCUUUAACAGGUAAUUAAAGUCCUUUAGUGCGAAAUUUUGGUUUAAGUCUAAACUGCCUUUUCCAAAUAAACAUAUUUUUGUCUAGAUCUUCCUGGGGAUGAAUCAAAGCACUACCUUCAGUGCCGAAGUCCUGUCAGUGCUGAGUGGAUGGAUGCACUGCCAGCCCUUUCUGACCAGACAUAAGAUGAGUAGAAGGGAAAGGAUUUAGAAGUGCUUCCUGUGCUGUAGGAUGGGGUUUUCCAUAACUAAGCAUACCACCAGUGUGGGAUGGAAGACUGUGGUGGUACAGGAUCAAAGCUUUACAGAAUCAAGUCUUCCUCCUUUAGGUGCUGCUUCUUACAGGAGUUCCUACCCAACAAGUGACUUGGCCAUAGCUUGUGAUGUACAAAGCAAUCACGUUUGCAGUGAGCUGUCCUUGCAGUGCUGCCAGCCAGCCAUGCUUAUCUGGAGAUAUGCUUCAGCACAAGUACAUGGGGAGAAAGAAACUGUUGAAAAAGUGAAGCAGUGGCAGCCUUGUUUUGCUUGUUGAGGAAUGUAAUCAGAAAAGGAGAGUGAAAGAUGUGUGGUGGCUCAGUGUGAGGCGUCGGGUUGUACGCGGUGAGUCAAAGGCAUAAGGUUGCUGUCUGGAUUUGGGAACUUGAGGGCACUUCUGUGCUUGUUUGAAGCAGUUAUCACCGGUGAUGAUAGAUAAGCUUAGUUUGGGAACUCCUACUCGCAAUGCAAUUUGAAAUGCGUUGUUCAAACCCCACGUGUUCAGGCACCUAAUACCAGCUUCUGGAUCCUGCUUGCGCCAAAUCUGUAUCUUAAACCUUGGCUCUUCCAAUUCUUGAAGAUGAGUACUUCCGAAUGCUGAGAGGUGGUAGCGUUAGGAAGAUGAGAUGUACCCCAGCAUAUUUUUCAUGUGGUAGCUUACUAUGUCCAUUUUUACUAGAACCUCGUGAAAUAGAAAAGUGUUCUCAUUUCUGUUCAAGCAGAAACUAAAGCACAGAAAUAACCAUCUUACCCAUUCAGUUUGCUGUUCUUCUAUUGCUGUAGUUUCUCUAGACAUCUGACCGGUGUUAUGAAGACAGGACUGUUGUGUUUGUGUCUUGCAGAAUCUACUAGAUAAUACUUGUAGCAAUACUCUUGGGAAAUGCUUUGUUUCAAGUAGUGGGAAAACAAGUAAAUAUUAAAUUUUAAUUAAUCUACUGCUUUCUUCUCUAGGAAACAAAGACCAGAAAACAUUAAUUUAGGUUGACUGAAAACGCGGGCUGAACGGUUUCUGCUUAGCAGGGAGACACCUUAACCAAAGAUUAAUAGUGUUGGAGAUUCCCAUGUGAGUAUCGACUCCACUGCAAUUUAAUUUGAGCUGGAAAUGAUUUGGAUCCCACUGAACUGGAUGAGGGCACUGAACUUGAAGUGCCCUGCAUGUUGUGAAGAAGUCGGUCCCGGUUUCCAGAUGAGCUGGAAGAAAAAGGUGCUUUCAAGAAAUAGCCACAUAGAUCACCUCUGGGCUGUGUGUGAGCUUGCUGUGACAAGCUAGUUUGCAUUUUGGUAGGAGGCUGUGGGUGCCAUUUGCCCUCUUACUCCUAGUGUAUUUCACAGGGUAGAGCACAAGCCAAGACUAAGCAACCUACUUUCAUCUGAUGAGAUCUGCUUGCAGUUUCUCACAUUGCUAUAACAUCUUUUUAACUGCUUCACAAAAUCUUACUUGAAACAUUUUAUAAAUAUGCAAGAAAAUCAGUAGGCUCUUUUUUUUCUUUCAAAAAUAAGACGUGAACUUGAUAAGAUCCCUUUAGAAAAUGCAUAAAUCUGUUCUCAAGAACUGCUUUUCAUCUGAAAUUUCCUCUCAAUAUUUUCAGUGUUAAAUUUUAGAAGCAUGCUGGUUUUGUCAGAGUAAAACAAGGAUUCUGAAACGUUUUGCUUUUAUGCCAUUGUCCUAAAAGCUCACACAUGGGGGGGCAGAAUCUUUGUUUUUUCCUCCACCCACCUCUGUGUUUUACUGCAUUUGGACACAGUACAGAAUCCUGCAGGUGUGUCUUGUGAGCUACCAGGCAGCAGUCCUUACUUGUACACUGGGGGGGUUUCUUGGUGUGUUUUUCACUUCUUUCUGAAGGUGUGUUUUCAGCCUGCGUGUUAUUCUGUUGCCAAGAGGACUUAAUGUCAUGAAGAGUUUUCCUGGUAGUCGUCUUCUAACUCCAGGUUCCAAAUUUUGCUCCUCUUUUGCUGCAAAAGGGUUGGAAGUGGGGAGGGAGGCAGGAGGGGAUUGUUGUUGUUUUCAGCUUUAGGAUUUCAGUUUCUUUUUGAUAAGAAUUUGGAGAGCUGAAGAUGAUCACCUUGAAAUGUUUCUUCUGGAGCAUUCUCUCAGAUGCCUUUCAUAACCUCAGAAAACAGCCUAACUGGUCCAAGUAUUCCUGAGCCUGAUCAAAUCCAGGCUCUGCAUCUCGCUGCUUGAGGAAGGCAUCUGCUCUGCUAGUCUCAGAAACAGUGAGAUUCUUUGCAGCUGACAUGCAGGUUACUCCCUACAAUGCCUGAAAGAGAGAAGUAUGAGUCACCUUCUGCUGGGGUAAUGCUGCGUUCCACAACUGAAAUCCCAGCAGUGAUUUGGAAUGAAUUCUUCCAUUGCUUUUGCUGGCAUGUUGUUAAGUUUUGAGGGGGAGACGGGAUCAGUUGGUACCACUUAAACCUCUUCCAUCUGCUUCUUUCAACAGAUAACUUCCUUGCUAUACAGCAGGGGAUUUGGGGGCAAGGAUGAGGGUGGCUUCAUUAUUGUACUGAAUGUGCAGGAGAUUGUCCAAACCAGAAUGGAUACAGUGAUUCCUGAUGUUGAUUUUACUGAAUAUGUUAUGCACUGGAGACAAUGUGUUUUUAUAUCUUCUCCAGUUUCAGUCUUCCCUUUUCUGGCCCUAUGGACGGGGAGGAACUUACAUGAGAAGUGGGUAUUGCAAAAGAACUUGGUGUCGUUGUGUGCUGGUUCUUUAGGAACCUGCUGUACACAGAAGUGUGUGGUCUUGUUGGAGCAAACACCCAUCUCUUUACUUACUUUUCCGAGGGAGGCCCUCUCACUAAUUAGAAGACAGAGGUUCAAACAGUAUGGGAGGAAGAUGGGAACCCAUAUACCAUCAUGGAGCAACAGUUGACCUUUAUCUGAAAUGCUGUGGUCCUUGGAUAAGAGGAGUCCUUUGGUAUCUUGUUUGGUGUUCAGAGUAUUGGUUUUGUGAUUUUUACAGUGACGUUUUAAUAUAAAGCGAAUAAACAGUACUGGGAAA